Molecule: long non-coding RNA, 2553 nt
Filed under: Olea europaea (common olive)
Lineage: Eukaryota; Viridiplantae; Streptophyta; Magnoliopsida; Lamiales; Oleaceae
Description: long non-coding RNA (OEUR_LNC006105)
Source: RNAcentral
UUACCUAGUUGUAAUUGUAGAGAAUUAGUAAGACUAGUUUACUCAAUAUUUUCUAUAAAUAAGGAGGUAUCCAUCUAGUGUUAUGUAUGUUGAAGAAGUGGGAAAAAUCUCUCAAAAAAUAGAGAAAGAGCGUGCCGCAGCAACUCUUUUGUAAUUCCUCAAAUUUCAUAAGAAAAAUUUCAUAUUUAUCUUAUCUAUUUCUUUUUACACCCAACAAAUUUUGAUAUCAAACUUGCGGAAAAAUACAUUAAACAAACCCCGACUUUUGGAAGGGAUGCAUCUGGAUGAAUUCAAAAAGAAAAUGAUAAAAGAUUUUGAAAUGUACAACUUGGGACUCAUGAAAUAUUUUCUUGGGAUUCAAGUAAAGCAAAAGCCAGGAAGAAUUUUUCUUUCUCGGAAAAAGUAUAUUGAUGAUCUUUUCAAAAAAUUUAAAAUGAGUGAGUGCAAGCCUGUCUCUACUCCGAUGGCCUUAAAUGAAAAAUUGCAAGUUUAUGAUGAUGUUGAAAAAGUUGAUGCCACACUCUACAGGAAAUUGAUUUGUUCAUUGAUUUAUCUUAAUACAAGGCCAGAUAUUACAUAUUCAGUCAGCUUAUUAUCCAGAUUCAUGAAUGAACCAAGUAAACUACAUUUUGCAGCAGCAAAAAGAAUUUUGAGAUUCCUUAAAAGAACUAAGAACCAUGGCAUAGAGUUUAAAAAAGAGAAUAAUCACAAACUUGUUGGCUAUACAGAUAGUGAUUGGGCUGGAUCAGUUGAUGAUCGGAAGAGCACUUCUGGAUACAUCUUUUACCUUGGAUCAAAUGUGAUUUCCUAGAGUUCAAAAAAGCAGAAAUUUGUUGCUUUAUCAUCAGCCGAAGCAGAGUACAUCGUAGCUACAUAUUCAGCUUGCAAAGCUACUUGGCUUAGAAGAAUUUUGAAAUAUUUGAAAUUUGAGCAGAAAGGACCAACAACAAUUUAUUGCGACAAUAUGUCGACAAUUGCGAUGACAAAAAAUCGAGUCUUCCAUGCUAGGUCAAAGCAUAUUGAACUUCGACAUCACUUUAUAAGAGAUUUGGUAAAUCAAGAAGAAAUUUGUAUGGAGUUUAUAAAUACCAAUGAUCAACCGGCCGACAUGAUAACGAAGCCAAUGACGAUUGAUAAGUUUAAAAAAUUCAAGAAGCAUUUGAAGAUUACAAAUUAAGAUGGAGUGUUAAAAGUUCUAAAGUAAUUUGUAGUCUUCAUCUAGCCCAAUCCAAAUUGGAAACUUCAACAACAAAAGAAGAUUGAAAGAGUUCAAAUCCAAAUUGAACACUUCAAAUAACAAAGACUUUAUUCAUUGAAUGGUUAAAGGAUAAGAUUUUCAAUUCAAGUUGUAUACUCAACUUAUGCAAGCUAGAAAUUAAUAUAGACAGCAAUCAACUCACAUUCUUAUGUUCUGCAAUCUAAAAAUUACAUCAGGCAGCAGCCAUUUGAUACUUAUGAUGUUCAAACACAACUGCAAAUACAUAUGUUCUAGCUGUAAAGGAUGAAGAAAAAAUAGCUUUUACCUAAUUGUAAUUGCAGAGAAUUAGUAAGACUAGUUUACUCAAUGUUUUCUAUAAAUAGGGAGGUAUCUAUCUAGUGUUAUGUAUGUAGAAGAAGUGAGAAAAAUCUCUAAAAAAAAUAAAUAAAUAAAUAGAGAAGGAGUGUAUUGUAGCAACUCCUUUGUAAUUCCUCAAAUUUCAUAAGAAAAAUUUCAUAUUUAUCUUACCUAUUUCCUUCUACACUCAACAUAAUUUUCAUUCUUUCAGGGAUCAGAAAUUUAAUGACACCUAAGAAAAGCAUUCGUUCAACUGCGAAUUAUGAUAGCAAAAGAUAAAAAUAGGCUAUAAAAUGCAUGGGUAUAUCCAUAUAGAGUUUAGCAAUAUGGAGAGUCUUUCAAUCUUAUUAGCAACAUAAAACAACAAAAAACUUGGGGUCAAAUUUUCAAUCGCAAAAGAGGAUAAAACACUUGUUUACCCAAAAUUAGUAUAAUUGGAUGGACCAGAAAACAGUGAGUAAAGACAAUAUAGAAUUUUCAAUUCGAUAUAAGUAGAAAAACUAGUGAACUAUAGAAAUUGAACAGUUAAGCUAGAGGCAAUAGAUGGCACAAUUUAAAAGAUUAGAAAGGCAAAUAAUGUCAUUUGCACAUACAUUUAAAAAUAAAAAUAAAAAUGCAGUCUAGUUGUUACGAGAAAAAAAUUGAAGCAGAAGAUCAUCACUGGAAACAAAUUUUUGAAAAAAGGAAGAAAAUCUGCUUAUAGAAAAAGAUCGUAUUCAAUAUUCCCUGCCAAGUCAAAAGACGCAUAGAUUAAAAGGUUGCCUGACUGUCAAUGAGUUAAAUAAAAAAGACCAAUUAAAGAUAUACUACCAGAGAAUUAAUUGAAAUGGUUUGGGCACAUUCAACAAAUGCAGCUAGAUGUGCUUGACAGGAAAGGUGAGUGGACUAGUAUAAAUGGUAAAUCUACCAUUUCAGUAAUCUCAAGGUGGUACCUUGGUUACUAACUUGAGUUUGGAUAGUAGAAAUCUAACUUAGGUUCAUGUCCUGAUCAAAAGUUG